GGGCAAAAGCAUCUUCAUCGGGCUUUUGUUCAGGUUACAAGUUAGGGAGAGAGAUUUACCCCCCGGGGAUAUAUCAGAGUAUCAAUAUCGUGCCAUGAAACAGAUGCAAAGUAGCCAUUCCAUUAGAGAACAUUUUACACGCACGACAUUAUUCAUCAUACCAUUAACUAGUGAUUCAUGCACGUGGACGUAACCACGCAACACACAGCCUACUUGCUCGUCUCGUUCUAACAAACCUACGAGUAACACAACCGGAAGCUCCCAGCAAACUCGACUCAGAGCUAGCGUCUUGCCAUGCCAUCAUCAGGCCACAAAACCCAAACUUUUACACAGACUCAGCCUCACUGCUCACUCCUGGACACACACAUAAGCAAAAGAUAAUACUACGUACUACGUACUACACGUGAUCGAUACAUGCAUGCAUGCAUGCAGCGUACGUGUGCUGGCGCGUACACGGCUCAAGGCGUGACGCCGCCGCCACCGAANNN
This 488-nucleotide long non-coding RNA is filed under the name Oryza brachyantha (malo sina). Its description in RNAcentral is "long non-coding RNA (OBRA_LNC000971)". Lineage: Eukaryota; Viridiplantae; Streptophyta; Magnoliopsida; Poales; Poaceae. The record is from RNAcentral.